This 379-nucleotide long non-coding RNA is filed under the name Setaria italica (foxtail millet). RNAcentral's name for it is "long non-coding RNA (SITA_LNC001063)". Lineage: Eukaryota; Viridiplantae; Streptophyta; Magnoliopsida; Poales; Poaceae. The record is from RNAcentral.
CACCCACCACCGCAAGGGCCCCGCCCGGUUCCGGUCCCUCGACUUCGGCGAGCGCAAUGGUUACCUCAAGGGCGUCGUCACCGACGUCAUCCACGACCCGGGCCGCGGCGCGCCGCUGGCCAAGGUCACCUUCCGCCACCCGUUCCGCUACAAGCACCAGAAGGAGCUCUUCGUCGCCGCCGAGGGCAUCUACACGGGCCAGUUCAUCUACUGCGGGCGCCGCGCCACGCUCUCCAUCGGCAACGUGCUGCCGCUCAGGGGGAUCCCCGAGGGUGCCGUCGUCUGCAACGUCGAGCACCACGUCGGGGACCGCGGCGUCUUCGCCAGGGCGUCCGGGGACUACGCCAUCGUCAUCAGCCACAACCCGGACAACGGGACA